UACGUAGGGGGCAAGCGUUGUCCGGAUUUAUUGGGCGUAAAGAGCGUGUAGGCGGUUUGGUAGGUCCGCUGUGAAAACUCGAGGCUCAACCUCGAGACGCCGGUGGAAACCAUCAGACUAGAGUCCGGAAGAGGAGAGUGGAAUUCCUGGUGUAGCGGUGAAAUGCGCAGAUAUCAGGAAGAACACCCCGUGGCUAAGGCGGUUCUCUAGUACGGUACUGACGCUGAGACGCGAAAGCGUGGGGAGCGAACAGG
RNAcentral lists this ribosomal RNA (254 nucleotides) under uncultured bacterium. Its description in RNAcentral is "partial 16S ribosomal RNA". It matches the Rfam family "Bacterial small subunit ribosomal RNA", at positions 524 to 776 of the family's 1533-position model. The record is from RNAcentral.